Molecule: ribosomal RNA, 484 nt
Filed under: uncultured bacterium
Lineage: Bacteria
Description: partial 16S ribosomal RNA
Rfam family: Bacterial small subunit ribosomal RNA
Source: RNAcentral
AUUGAACGCUGGCGGCGUGCCUAAUACAUGCAAGUCGAGCGGAUGAAGGGAGCUUUUUCCUGUCUUACGUUGCCGGCGGGUGGGUGAUGAAUAGGAGUCUGCCUGGUCUUGGGGGAUAACGUCCCGUAACGGGACCUAAUAUCGCACCCGUUAAGAUGUUGAACGUGGGGGUUCUUCGGACCAAACGCUAUUUGCUGACCCUUAGCCGGAUUAGCUAGUUGGUGGGGUAAAGGCGUACCAAGGCGACGAUCCGUAACUGAUCUGAGAGGAUGAUCAGUCACACUGGAACUGAGACACGGUCCAGACUCCUACGGGAGGCAGCAGUGGGGAAUAUUGGACAAUGGGCGAAAGCUUGACCGAGCCAUGCCGCGUGUGUGAUGAAGGUCUUCGGAUUGUAAAACACUUUAAGUAGGGAGGAAGGACAGUGAGUGUAUACCUGGAUGUUUUGACGGUACCAACACAAAAAGCAACGGCUAACUACGUG